UAAGGAAAGAAAAGGGAAGCAGAUGCUGCAUAAACAUUGUUUGAAAGGGGAUCUAAGCAAAGCCAAGCACGAACUCCAACUUUUGAGAUUUCCGUUAUCUUUAAAUAUGGCUAAAAUUUCCAGUUUCCUACAUUCUGGUCGUUUCCGUUGUUGUGGCCGCUAUUCUUUCGAAUACGCAAGAUCUAAGUACCCCAUUUGUCCUUGCUUCUCCAAUUCUUGGGUGUUGUGGGAAAAAAUGUCGAGCCAAACGUGGUACUAAGCAAAAUCAGCAAGCACCAGAAUAUUAUGCUCACCCAACUCCAGGUCCUCGGCCAAACAAUCCUCUUAUUGGCCCUCCGAAACCACCGAGACUGCACCUGCCUCUUAGAAUUCGGGAGACGAAUGUGUAAGGAAGCCUAACAAUCUUAGAAUAUCCGCUGCGGAACGCCACGCAGCAGAUCCACGUCCCAAUCCUGCACUUACGAGCAAUCAGACUGUACCCCAUGAUCGUUUUCAUCCAGUUCACGUUACUAAUCAACAUACUCAUCAACGUCAACACAGACAAGAAAAUCGACUUUCAAAUCGAGCGAAUCGUGCAGGCCCUACAGCAAGAAGACGACGAUCGAGAGUGCAACGAACGAGUUGAGAGACUGUUGUAUGACCAUUGUCAAAACAUUCAAGCCACGCGAAACGGAAGCAAGAAAUAAAGCCGCCGCAUCUAUUCUGGCCAAUUUAUUGCAAAUAUUUAAAUUGGCAUAGUUGUACAUUGAAUCUAGCUUUCCAAUUUCUUAUCUGAUUUCAAGGCGGCUUCCGCAAAAAAAAAGAAAAAAGAAAAGACAAAUGAAACUGUUGCACAUCAAGUAGCUUUAGAAAGGGACGGUGAAUCAAAUUCCCUGCACUGCGCAAACAAAUCGAUUGCGUUGAUUGUCCUUGUUAAUAUUACUGAACAAAGUUAAAAGCCCUGUGCGCCUGCCGUGAUAGCCCAAUGACCAUGGUGGUGCGGUGCUAAGCAUGAGCUCGUGCGUUUAAUUACGGCCGCCACCGCCGCAUUAUUUUGGUGGUGGCGCCACGGUGAAACGCUUGAUUGACAUGCAUUCAUUGCAUGCGAAAGGAACCCCAGGUGGCCAGAAUUAUUUCGGAGCUUCCCGCAAGGCAAGAUCGAAGGAUCUCGUGGUUGUCUGCGUUCGAGCGACGAUAAAUAAAAUAUGUGAGACAAGAAACGGCUCACGUCUCCCUAGAAGGUUAACCCUUGCUGCUUUGAAAAACGGAAGUAAAAGAAAGCAAAUAGAACGCAGGAAAGAUUGAAAAUUAGAGUUAAAGGCGAAGGUUGGAGGGAGAGACAAGUAAAGAAGACUACCAAUUUCCCCUAGGUGAAUCAGUUCGGGGGUGCCAUCUACGUGAAGCGGAGGCCAAAGAGGUGUGUUGCCUACACCAAGGGGCCAUAACGGUCCAAACAGUCGGCAUUGGCUCAGCCCCCAGCAUACCUCUUUCCGCGGAUACGGCUGAGCCACGCACGGUUUAGCGCAUAGUGUACGACCCCCAUGUGCUCGGGUCCGUGGUGUCAUAACACACCAAACGGUUGCUGACGCAGACAACCCUGCAGGUGGUCACUGUUUCGUUUAUCCUCCUUCAUUUACCGCUAAAUGUGCCCGG
Dermacentor silvarum is the source of this 1632-nucleotide long non-coding RNA. RefSeq lists it as uncharacterized. The record is from RefSeq and is a predicted model, not a curated record. Lineage: Eukaryota; Metazoa; Arthropoda; Arachnida; Ixodida; Ixodidae. The transcript is spliced from 4 exons.